CAAAGGAGAAGCUCUCUUCGUGCUUGCACAGAAGAGAGCUUCUUUUUUGUGAACGUCCCGACACGAGUACAGAGCAGCACAUAGUGGUGCGGGAGUACGAGUGUCGGGGAGGAUUGCGGGAGCGCGCAGCGCGGAGCAAUCCGUAA
This 146-nucleotide small RNA is filed under the name bovine gut metagenome. RNAcentral describes it as "Clostridiales-1 RNA". It matches the Rfam family "Clostridiales-1 RNA", at positions 14 to 159 of the family's 166-position model. The record is from RNAcentral.